Poecilia latipinna (sailfin molly) is the source of this 487-nucleotide long non-coding RNA. RefSeq lists it as uncharacterized. The record is from RefSeq and is a predicted model, not a curated record. The transcript is spliced from 2 exons. Lineage: Eukaryota; Metazoa; Chordata; Actinopteri; Cyprinodontiformes; Poeciliidae.
ACAGACUUAAAUUACUGUACUAUAAACCUUAAACUAAGAACCUAUGUCAUUCUGGAAUUUUUUUGUCUUAUGAACUCAACUUACUAAUAACAGCAGUGGAUGGGAAGAAGAAAAAAAAAAAAGAAAAAAAACUUGUGCUAAUUCUGGACGUAUAAAAUUCCCUACACGUGGGUGCUGCUGUUGUCUUUGCUUCAUCUUUUAAGAUAAUUGGCUGCUGGUACAUGUUGUGAUGGGUGAGCUUCCCAAAAUAGAAGCUCGCCUUUCAAAAGGAAAGAACAACACCUGGGAAUAUUACAGCAACAUUUCUUCUUCAACCAAAUCAGUCACAAAGCCUCAAGCCUAUAGUGUCACUCAUUGUGGUUAAAGUUGAAAAGGUGUGUACAAGCAAGACCGCCUACAAACCUGACUCACACCAGUCCUGUGAGGAGGAGUUGAGUCAAAAUUAGUGCAAACUAUUUUUAACAGUCCUUCCAAAUACUAAAGGACU